RNAcentral lists this ribosomal RNA (549 nucleotides) under Brevibacterium sp. SK8G2. RNAcentral's name for it is "bacterial SSU rRNA". It matches the Rfam family "Bacterial small subunit ribosomal RNA", at positions 54 to 606 of the family's 1533-position model. The record is from RNAcentral. Lineage: Bacteria; Bacillati; Actinomycetota; Actinomycetes; Micrococcales; Brevibacteriaceae.
CAUGCAAGUCGAACGCUGAAACCUGGUGCUUGCACCGGGUGGAUGAGUGGCGAACGGGUGAGUAACACGUGAGUAACCUGCCCCCGACUUCGGGAUAAGCCCGGGAAACUGGGUCUAAUACCGGAUAUGACCAGCGCUCGCAUGAGUGUUGGUGGAAAGUUUUUUAGGUUGGGGAUGGGCUCGCGGCCUAUCAGUUUGUUGGUGAGGUAAUGGCUCACCAAGACGACGACGGGUAGCCGGCCUGAGAGGGCGACCGGCCACACUGGGACUGAGACACGGCCCAGACUCCUACGGGAGGCAGCAGUGGGGAAUAUUGCACAAUGGGGGAAACCCUGAUGCAGCGACGCAGCGUGCGGGAUGACGGCCUUCGGGUUGUAAACCGCUUUCAGCAGGGAAGAAGCCCCUUGGGGUGACGGUACCUGCAGAAGAAGUACCGGCUAACUACGUGCCAGCAGCCGCGGUAAUACGUAGGGGUACAGGCGUUGUCCGGAAUUAUUGGGGCGUAAAGAGCUCGUAGUGGUUGGGUCACGCCUGCUGUGGAAACGCAAC